AUUAAACCGCGUGAGGGAUAGUAGUGGAGCUCCUUUUUCUUGAAUUGCCUCGAGUUUAAAUCCGAGGCAAUUCAAGAAAAAGAGCGGGAACGAAUAGCCUGACCCUUU
This 108-nucleotide small RNA is filed under the name Flavobacterium segetis. RNAcentral describes it as "Flavo-1 RNA". It matches the Rfam family "Flavo-1 RNA". The record is from RNAcentral. Lineage: Bacteria; Pseudomonadati; Bacteroidota; Flavobacteriia; Flavobacteriales; Flavobacteriaceae.